This 253-nucleotide ribosomal RNA is filed under the name uncultured bacterium. RNAcentral describes it as "partial 16S ribosomal RNA". It matches the Rfam family "Bacterial small subunit ribosomal RNA", at positions 524 to 776 of the family's 1533-position model. The record is from RNAcentral.
UACGGAGGAUCCAAGCGUUAUCCGGAUUUAUUGGGUUUAAAGAGCGUGUAGGCGGCCAGAUAGGUCCGUUGUGAAAACUCGAGGCUCAACCUCGAGACGCCGAUGGAAACCGACUGGCUAGAGUCCGGAAGAGGAGAGUGGAAUUCCCGGUGUAGCGGUGAAAUGCGCAGAUAUCGGGAAGAACACCCGUGGCUAAGGCGGCUCUCUAGUACGGUACUGACGCUGAGACGCGAAAGCGUGGGGAGCGAACAGG